AUUCCAGCUCCAAUAGCGUAUAUUAAAGCUGUUGCAGUUAAAAAGCUCGUAGUUGGAUUUGUGGUGUACUUCGGCGGCCCGUCACUAUGUGAUGGAGCUUGCUGAAGUCGCCAUCCUUGGGUGGAUCCUGUGUGGCAUUAAGUUGUCGUGCAGGGGAUGCCCAUCGUUUACUGUGAAAAAAUUAGAGUGUUCAAAGCAGGCUUAUGCCGUUGAAUAUAUUAGCAUGGGAUAAUAAGAUAGGACCUUGGUACUAUUUUGUUGGUUUGCGCACCAAGGUAAUGAUUAAUAGGGACAGUUGGGGGUAUUCGUAUUUCAUUGUCAGAGGUGAAAUUCUUGGAUUUUUGAAAGACGAACUACUGCGAAAGCAUUUACCAAGGAUGUUUUCAUCG
This 389-nucleotide ribosomal RNA is filed under the name Cylindrotheca sp. RNAcentral's name for it is "partial small subunit ribosomal RNA". It matches the Rfam family "Eukaryotic small subunit ribosomal RNA", at positions 582 to 975 of the family's 1831-position model. The record is from RNAcentral. Lineage: Eukaryota; Bacillariophyta; Bacillariophyceae; Bacillariales; Bacillariaceae.